UCCUCAGCCAAUUCGCGGAAGAAGUGGCUCACGCCUUCCAGAGCCACAUGAUCGCCGUCGAAAUAGAAGCCCAGAGAGAGGUAGGUGUAGGAGGCCUGCAGGUACAAAUUGACCAGGCUGUUGACGGCUGCGUCCACGUCAGUGGAAUAAUUCUGACGAAUCUGGGAGCUCAUGGUUGGUCGGCAAGAAGGAGCUAACCACAAAAACGGUGCUGGCAGAGUCCCCG
This 226-nucleotide long non-coding RNA is filed under the name Homo sapiens (human). RNAcentral describes it as "non-protein coding lnc-CXorf21-1:1". The record is from RNAcentral. Lineage: Eukaryota; Metazoa; Chordata; Mammalia; Primates; Hominidae.